GUGGGGAAUAUUGGGCAAUGGGCGAAAGCCUGACCCAGCAACGCCGCGUGAAGGAAGAAGGUUUUCGGAUCGUAAACUUCUAUCCUUGGUGAAGAUAAUGACGGUAGCCAAGAAGGAAGCCCCGGCUAACUACGUGCCAGCAGCCGCGGUAAUACGUAGGGGGCAAGCGUUGUCCGGAAUGAUUGGGCGUAAAGGGCGCGUAGGCGGCCCGGUAAGUCUGAAGUGAAAGUCCUGCUAUUAAGGUGGGAAUUGCUUUGGAUACUGUCGAGCUUGAGUGCAGGAGAGGUAAGCGGAAUUCCCGGUGUAGCGGUGAAAUGCGUAGAGAUCGGGAGGAACACCAGUGGCGAAGGCGGCUUACUGGACUGUAACUGACGCUGAGGCGCGAAAGUGUGGGGAGCAAACAGGAUUAGAAACCCGUGUAGUCC
Molecule: ribosomal RNA, 425 nt
Filed under: uncultured bacterium
Lineage: Bacteria
Description: partial 16S ribosomal RNA
Rfam family: Bacterial small subunit ribosomal RNA
Source: RNAcentral